AUGGCCCCCAAGGCGGAGAAGAAGCCGGCGGCGAAGAAGCCCGCGGAGGAGGAGCCCGCGGCGGAGAAGGCGGCCGAGAAGGCCCCGGCGGCGAAGAAGCCCAAGGCGGAGAAGCGGCUGCCGGCGGGCAAGACGGCGUCCAAGGAGGCCGGCGGCGAGGCGAAGACGAGGGGCCGGAAGAAGGGCAGCAAGGCGAAGAAGAGCGUGGAGACGUACAAGAUCUACAUCUUCAAGGUGCUGAAGCAGGUGCACCCCGACAUCGGCAUCUCCUCCAAGGCCAUGUCCAUCAUGAACUCCUUCAUCAACGACAUCUUCGAGAAGCUCGCCGCCGAGGCCGCCAAGCUCGCCCGCUACAACAAGAAGCCCACCAUCACCUCCCGGGAGAUCCAGACCUCCGUCCGCCUCGUCCUCCCCGGGGAGCUCGCCAAGCACGCCGUCUCCGAGGGCACCAAGGCCGUCACCAAGUUCACCUCCUCCUAG
RNAcentral lists this ribosomal RNA (480 nucleotides) under Triticum aestivum (bread wheat). RNAcentral describes it as "partial small subunit ribosomal RNA". Lineage: Eukaryota; Viridiplantae; Streptophyta; Magnoliopsida; Poales; Poaceae. The record is from RNAcentral.